CAUAAUCCGAAGACGUGAUGUGGAGCGAAAUAAAGUAGUGAAGCGUGUGAGCCAUGUGCCGAGAAAAGCUGCUAUUGUGUAAUGCGUGCCCGUACCGUAAACCGACACAGGUGGAUGAGGAGAGAAUCCUAAGGCCGACGGAAGAAGCAUUGUUAAGGAAUUCGGCAAAAUGACCCCGUAACUUCGGGAGAAGGGGUGCCUGCGAGAGCAGGCCGCAGAGAAUAGGCUCAAGCAACUGUUUAGCAAAAACACAGGUCUAUGCGAAACCGAAAGGUGAAGUAUAUGGGCUGACGCCUGCCCGGUGCUGGAAGGUUAAGAGGAGAGGUUAGCGUAAGCGAAGCUUUGAAUUUAAGCCCCAGUAAACGGCGGCCGUAACAAUAACGGUCCUAAGGUAGCGAAAUUCCUUGUCGGGUAAGUUCCGACCCGCACGAAAGGCGUAAUGAUUUGAGCACUGUCUCGACAAUGCAUCCGGUGAAAUUGAAGUACCAGUGAAGAUGCUGGUUACCCGCGCCAGGACGGAAAGACCCCAUGGAGCUUUACUCCAGUUUGAUACUGGGAUUCGGUACUGCAUGUACAGGAUAGGUGGGAGACGAAGAAGGAUGGACGCCAGUCUGUCCGGAGUCGCUGUUGGGAUACCACCCCUGUAGUACUGGGUUUCUAACCAGUUACCAUGAUCUGGUAAUGGGACAAUGUCAGGCGGGGAGUUUGACUGGGGCGGUCGCCUCCGAAAGGGUAUCGGAGGCGCUCAAAGGUUCCCUCAGAAUGGUUGGAAACCAUUUGAAGAGUGCAAAGGCAGAAGGGAGCUUGACUGCGACACCGACGGGUGGAGCAGGUACGAAAGUAGGACUUAGUGAUCCGGUGGUAUAAAGUGGGAUUGCCAUCGCUCAACGGAUAAAAGCUACCCUGGGAUAACAGGCUUAUCACUCCCAAGAGUUCACAUCGACGGAGUGGUUUGGCACCUCGAUGUCGGCUCAUCGCAUCCUGGGGCUGUAGCAGGUCCCAAGGGUUGGGCUGUUCGCCCAUUAAAGCGGUACGCGAGCUGGGUUCAGAACGUCGUGAGACAGUUCGGUCCCUAUCCGGCGCGGGCGGAGGAUAUUUGAGAGGAACCGUCCUUAGUACGAGAGGACCGGGAUGGACGGACCACUGGUGUAUCUGUUGUCGACCAACGGCAUGGCAGAGUAGCCAAGUCUGGAAGGGAUAAACGCUGAAGGCAUCUAAGCGUGAAGCCCCCCUCAAGAUGAGAUAUCCCUCCUAUAAGGAGUAAGACCCCUUGAAGACUACAAGGUAGAUAGGGCAGAGGUGGAAGCAUGGCAACAUGUGGAGCUGACUGUUACUAAUAGGUCGAGGGCUUAAU
RNAcentral lists this ribosomal RNA (1354 nucleotides) under metagenome. RNAcentral describes it as "bacterial LSU rRNA". It matches the Rfam family "Bacterial large subunit ribosomal RNA", at positions 1549 to 2925 of the family's 2925-position model. The record is from RNAcentral.